This is a long non-coding RNA of Armigeres subalbatus, 788 nucleotides long. RefSeq lists it as uncharacterized. The record is from RefSeq and is a predicted model, not a curated record. NCBI's taxonomy places the organism in Eukaryota, Metazoa, Arthropoda, Insecta, Diptera, Culicidae. The transcript has 3 exons.
AGAUAAAUGAUGUAUAAGAUGUAAAACAAGAGCAGUGGAUUGAGAUCUACAACAAAAAUGUUCAACAAAUGGCCAUUGAAAUGCUAUUAAGAAAUUAAAGAGGCAUGAGAAGUUCUGUAGCCAUUCUUUUGAACCCAUAACUCUAUCUGGCCAAUUAUUAGAAUGAAAGAAUGGUACAUAAAUAGCCGGUCGAAUGCCGAGCAAAUCGGUUAACGCUCAACGCAUCAUUCGUCACCAUACAGGAGGUACAUUUUAAGAACAAUGCAGACUACGCAAAAGUGUUCGUGCAUUUGCAUAACGGAACAGACCAGUUACGCGGCAACACAUUGCUGGAUAUAGAUGCGCUGAUUUUCCAAAACGUUUCUGAUGGAUUAGUUCUACGCAUGGAUCUUAGCUCCAAAGUAGGAGCGGACCAUAUCGUUAUUCUUAACUCCAGUAUCGAUUUGUGCAACUCUAACGAAUCGCAAUCCUUUGAUCAACUAACAUAUUUGAUAGCCCAAGAGAUAGAAAAGUAUGGAAACUUGAGCUUCAGUUGUCCCUUUCACUCAGGCAAUUAUAUGGUUCGAAACUUCCAUAUCGACACGGAGAAUGUGUUGAUCAAGUUUGCCCCACCUGGAGAGUAUCGUAUAGUCAUCGAUAUCAAAUACAAAGCGGAAACAAGUACGAUGGCGAUCCCGAUUUUUGAUAUAGAACUUUAUGCUACCAUAGUUCAGGAUGGUUAAUGGUACACGAAGUGUCGAAGUACGAAGUACGAAGCAAUCACCAUUUUACUACAUAAUAUAUUAACU